AUGUUACCCUGGGUGAUAAAGUGGGCAUGUUGUCUAAUGGGGCUCUUCAAUAGCAGCGCUGCCUCCGUUGGUGAUGAAUGGACAGACUCUGCGGGCGAGUCAGGGUCAGGAAUGCUAACAGAGGUGAACCUUCUAGAGGAGCUCUCGCUGCAGGUGUCCAACAGCAGCAAUGCCUCCAUGUCUCUGGAUGUUCAGAGGUGUCCGGUGCUGCAGGUGGGACAGUACUCCACCCUGGCCCUGCCCCUAGCAGAGCUCUUCACUGACGGGUUUGCAGAUGAAUUCAGUCUGUUGGUGCAGUUGCGAAGCCCACAGCGAGACGAACGCAGUGUGCUCACCCUGCUCAGCCAUGACAGCCACAUCCUGCUGCAAAUACGCAUCAGCGCAUACACACUCACCUUCAUCAGCACGCAACAGCGCCACUACGAGUUCCCGGUCAGUGGUCUGUCUGAUGGCCAGUGGCACCACGUAUCUGUGAGUGUGUCAUCUGUUAGGCUGGCGCUGUAUGUGGACUGUGCCUUGGUGGAGAGUGUGGACUGGGUGUACCAGGGUAUGGGCAUCACCCCUGAAGGCCUACUAUUGUUGGGAGGGAUCAUAGAGGGCUUCGAGACACCCUUUGAGGGCCAAUUCCGACAGCUGACGUUCCUGAUGGGCGACACAGAUGCCGGCCACCAUCACUGCACUCUUCACCCUGCCCAGUGUGGGGGGGUGAAGUCCCCCCGCUCCCCACGUACCAACCACGCCCUGGAGAAUCUCCUGCUGUCCUCAAAUGAUCUGGCGGACCUGCUAGAGAGAUCCAAGGAUUCCUCAUUCUUGGAUGUGCAAGUGGGGAAGACUGUGAGUAUAAAGGUCUAUCUGAUUCAAGGGGAAUCCCAAGUCUAGCUGAAUGUAAUUUACCUUUAUUUAACCAGGAAAAUACCCUUGGGGUAAGAAACCUCUCUUGUAAAGGGGGACGUGGCAUAUGCCCUGUGCUCUGUUUCUACCUGCCAUGAUUUAGACAGAAACAGCCCUUUGACUGAAUUCACAGAUUAAGUGCUUCUCUUGAGCUUGGUUUGGCACAGGAUGGACUCCUUCUUGCAUUACUGUGAUAUAUACUGCUGGUUUAAUCAAGGAAACUGACCAGCAGUAUAGGCCGCAAGGUGUAGAUUUAAGUGAUAAUGUGUUUGGAGGAUAUAUUGGCACGGGUGUUGUUAGGCCCGAGAUGGGUUACCAACAUAUUCAAAUAAUGAUUACAUAUUUCAUUAGACAUUUUAUUUUCAUGAAUUUGUUCAUACUAUUUCAUCCUUCCACAAGACAUAGUCCCGCAACAAAUCUAGUGUUGCUACCCAAGCCGGCUGGUCAUUCAUUCUAUUGGUCGGUUGCCAGAGACGCAACCCAGUCGUUCGUUCUAAAUGUUGCAUUGCCAUACUGGCUGGAAACGUUCUUAUCCCUUGUUUGCUAGCUAGCCAACUAUGGCUAACUUACAGUCACGUCAAACAAUGCAGACAGAAUAACAACAGUAGCUACAUAUGUUUAACCUGUUGGUGACCCCUUCCCCUUCUCAUCCUGUUAACGGGAUUGAUUUUGACAACAGCCAGUGGAAAAUCAGAGCGCCAAAUUUAAAACAGCUAAAAUCUCAUAAUUCCAUUUUCUCAAACAAUCAACUAUUUUACACCAUUUUAAAGAUAAACUUCUCGUUAAUCUAACCACAUUGUCCGAUUUCAAAAAGGCUUUACGGCGAAAGCAUAAAAUUCGAUUAUGUUAGGACAUAAACUUCACAAGAAACACCACACAACCAUUUUCCAAGCAAUUAGAUGCAUCACAAAAACCCAAAACACAGCUAAAUGAAGCACUAACCUUUGACGAUCUUCAUCAGAUGACACUCCUAGGACAUUAUGUUACACAAUACAUGUAUGUUUUGCUCGAUAAAGUUCCUAUUUAUAUCCAAAAACAGCAUUUUACAUUGGCGCAUAAUGUUGAGAAAUGUUUUCAUUUCGUAAACAUUGAUCAAUAUAGAAGUGUUAUGCACAGAAUUAUAGAUUUUUAUUUAUUUUUUUAUUUAUUUCACCUUUAUUUAACCAGGUAGGCAAGUUGAGAACAAGUUCUCAUUUACAAUUGCGACCUGGCCAAGAUAAAGCAAAGCAGUUCGACAACAUACAACAACACAGAGUUACACAUGGAGUAAACAACAUACAGUCAAUAAUACAGUAGAAAAAAAAAUAAGACUAUAUACAAUGUGAGCAAAUGAUGUGAGAUAAGGGAGGUAAAAGCAAAAAAAUGCCAUGGUGGCAAAGUAAAUAAAGUAUAGCAAGAAAAACACUGGAAUGGUAGAUUUGUAGUUUGAAGAAAGUUCAAAGUUCAAAUAUAAAUAAUAUGGUGCAAAGGAGCAAAAUAAAUAAAAUAAAUAAAUACAGUAGGGGAAGAGGUAGUAGUUUGGGCUAAAUUAUAGAUGGGCUAUGUACAGGUGCAGUGAUCUGUGAGCUGCUCUGACAGCUGGUGCUUAAAGCUAGUGAGGGAGAUAAGUGUUUCCAAUUUCAGAGAUUUUUGUAGUUCGUUCCAGUCGUUGGCAGCAGAGAACUGGAAGGAGAGACGACCAAAGGAGGAGUUGGCUUUAGGGGUGACCAGAGAGAUAUACCUGCUGGAGCGCGUGCUACAGGUGGGUGCUGCUAUGGUGACCAGUGAGCGGAGAUAAGGGGGGACUUUACCUAGCAGGGUCUUGUAGAUGACCUGGAGCCAAUGUGUUUGGCGACGAUUAUGAAGUGAAGGCCAGCCAACGAGAGCAUACAGAUCGCAGUGGUGGGUUGUAUAUGGGGCUUUGGUGACAAAACGGAUGGCACUGUGAUAGACUGCAUCCAGCUUGUUGAGUAGGGUAUUGGAGGCUAUUUUGUAAAUGACAUCGCCGAAGUCGAGGAUUGGUAGGAUGGUCAGUUUUACGAGGGUAUGUUUGGCAGCAUGAGUGAAGGAUGCUUUGUUGCGAAAUAGGAAGCCAAUUCUAGAUUUCACUUUGGAUUGGAGAUGAUUGAUGUGAGUCUGGAAGGAGAGUUUACAGUCUAACCAGACACCUAGGUAUUUGUAGUUGUCCACAAAUUCUAAGUUAGAACCGUCCAGAGAAGUUAUGCUGGAUGGGCGGGCAGGUGCAGGCAGCGAUCGGUUGAAGAGCAUGCAUUUAGUUUUACUUGUGUUUAGGAGCAGUUGGAGGCCACGGAAGGAGAGUUGAAUGGCAUUGAAGCUCGUCUGGAGGGUUGUUAACACAGUGUCCAAAGAAGGGCCAGAAGUAUACAGAAUGGUGUCGUCUGCGUAGAGGUGGAUCAGAGAUUCACCAGCAGCAAGAGCGACAUCAUUUAUGUAUACAGAGAAAAGAGUUGGCCCAAGAAUUGAACCCUGUGGUACCCCCAUAGAGACUGCCAGAGGUCCAGACAGUAGGCCCUCCGAUUUGACACACUGAACUCUGUCAGAGAAGUAGUUGGUGAACCAGGCGACGCAAUCGUUUGAGAAACCAACGCUACUAAGUCUGCCGAUGAGGAUGUGGUGAUUAACAGAGUCAAAAGCUUUGGCCAGGUCAAUGAAUAUGGCAGCACAGUAUUGUUUCUUAUCGAUGGCGGUUACGAUGUCGUUUAGGACCUUGAGCGUGGCUGAGGUGCACCCAUGACCAGCUCUGAAACCAGAUUGCAUAGCGGAGAGGGUGCGGUGGGAUUCGAAAUAGUCGGUAAUCUGUUUGUUGACUUGGCUUUCGAAGACCUUAGAAAGGCAGGGUAGGAUGGAUAUAGGUCUGUAGCAAUUUGGGUCAAGAGUGUCACCUCCUUUGAAGAGGGGGAUGACAGCAGCUGCUUUCCAAUCUAUGGGAAUCUCAGACGACACGAAAGAGAGGUUGAACAGGCUAGUAAUAGGGGUUGCAAUAAUUUCGGCAGAUAAUUUUAGAAAGAAAGGGUCCAGAUUGUCAAGCGCAGCUGAUUUGUAGGGGUCCAGAUUUUGCAGCUCUUUCAGAACAUCAGCUGAAUGGAUUUGGGAGAAGGAGAAAUGGGGGAGGUUUGGGCGAGUAGCUGUGGGGGGUGCAGUGCUGUUGAAUGCAGUAGGGGUAGUUAGGUGGAAAGCAUGGCCAGCCGUAGAAAAAUGCUUAUUGAAAUUCUCAAUUAUAGUGGGCUUAUCGGUGGUGACAGAGUUUCCUAUCCUCAGUGCAGUGGGCAGUUGGGAGGAGGUGUUCUUAUUCUCCAUGGACUUUACAAUGUCCCAGAACUUUUUAGAGUUGGAGUUGCACGAAGCAAAUUUUUGUUUGAAAAAGCUAGCCUUGGCGUUUCUAACUGCCUGUGUGUAUUGGUUUCUAACUUCCCUAAAAAGUUGCAUAUCGCGGGGGCAGUUCGAUGCUAAUGCAGAACGCCACAGGAUAUUUUUGUGUUGGUUAAGGGCAGUCAGGUCUGGGGAGAACCAAGGGCUAUAUCUGUUCCUGGUUCUAAAUUUCUUGAAAGGGGCAUGCUUAUUUAAGAUGGAGAGGAAGGCAUUUUUAAAAUAUAACCAGGCAUCCUCUACUGACGGGAUGAGGUCAAUAUCCUUCCAGGAUACCAGGGCCAGGUCGAUUAGAAAGGCUUGCUCGUUGAAAUGUUUCAGGGAGCGUUUGACAGUGAUGAGUGGAGGUCGUUUGACCGCUGACCCAUUACGGGUGCAGGCAAUGAGGCAGUGAUCGCUGAGAUCUUGGUUGAAAACAGCAGAGGUGUAAUUAGAGGGCACAUUGGUUAGGAUGAUAUCUAUGAGGGUGCCAGAGUUUGCGGCUUUGGGGUUGUACCUGGUGGGUUCAUUAAUAAUUUGUGUGAGAUUGAGGGCAUCAAGCUUGGAUUGUAGAAUGGCUGGGGUGUGAUAUGAUAUGAUAGAUACACUUCUCCUAAAUGGAAUCGCUUUGUCAGAUUUCAAAAUAGGUUCACGGCGAAAGCACAAUUUGCAAUAAUCUGAGUACAGCCCAGAUGACACUAACAACUAGCAAACAGAAUCCCAGCUCCACAAUAAAUGUUCGAUAAAGUUCAUAUUUAUUUCCAAAUAAUCCAUUUUGUUCGCGCGUUAGGUUCACUAUCCAAAUCCACUACGCGCGUGCUUACUUAGUCCAGACGAAAAGUCAAAAAAGUCAAACGAUUAGAAUGUAAGGUCAGUUUCCUAUGCUACUGUUUAAGUUGAAUACAAUACAGGCAGACAUGAGAGAGAAAGAGUGCCCCUGGGAUUAUAGACACAGCAUACAGGCACAGACACAGGUGUGUGAGGGAGGGUCAGUCAGUCUAUUGCUCAGCACACCGCAGGGCGGACUGCCCACAUAAGAAAAUACUACAGUUUACUAUAGAAUACUAUUGUACUUACUAUCAAAUGUUGUAGUAUACUGUAGAAUACUAUAGUCCACACUGUAGUAUCCCUUGAUAAUGUGUAGUACUUACUGUAGUGCCCCAGCACAUUGACUCUGUACCAGUACCACCUGUAUAUAGCCUCGCUACUGUUAUUUUCACUGUCAUUUACUGUUGUUACACUGUCAUUUACUGUUUUUUCUUCAUUUUUAUUUCCUUACUUAUCUAUUGUUUACCUACUACCUAUUUUUUACUUAAAAAUUGUGCUGUUGAUUCAGGCUUGUAAGUAAGCAUUUCACUGUAUUCGGCACACGUGACAAAUAAACUUUGAUUUGAUAUAGAAUUUUGUAGUAUACUGUGGUAUCCCUGAAGCAUGUGUAGU
Salmo trutta (river trout) is the source of this 5676-nucleotide long non-coding RNA. Lineage: Eukaryota; Metazoa; Chordata; Actinopteri; Salmoniformes; Salmonidae. The record is from Ensembl.